RNAcentral lists this ribosomal RNA (520 nucleotides) under uncultured bacterium. RNAcentral describes it as "bacterial SSU rRNA". It matches the Rfam family "Bacterial small subunit ribosomal RNA", at positions 355 to 896 of the family's 1533-position model. The record is from RNAcentral.
UGGGGAAUAUUGCACAAUGGGGGAAACCCUGAUGCAGCGACGCCGCGUGAGCGAAGAAGGUUUUCGAAUCGUAAAGCUCUGUCCUAUGAGAAGAUAAUGACGGUAUCAUAGGAGGAAGCCCCGGCUAAAUACGUGCCAGCAGCCGCGGUAAUACGUAUGGGGCGAGCGUUGUCCGGAAUUAUUGGGCGUAAAGGGUACGUAGGCGGCCUUUUAAGUCAGGUGUGAAAGCGUGAGGCUUAACCUCAUUAAGCACUUGAAACUGGAAGGCUUGAGUGAAGGAGAGGAAAGUGGAAUUCCUAGUGUAGCGGUGAAAUGCGUAGAUAUUAGGAGGAAUACCGGUGGCGAAGGCGACUUUCUGGACUUUUACUGACGCUCAGGUACGAAAGCGUGGGGAGCAAACAGGAUUAGAUACCCUGGUAGUCCGCGCCGUAAACGAUGAAUGCUAGGUGUUGGGAGUCAAAUCUCGGUGCCGAAGUUAACACAUUAAGCAUUCCGCCUGGGGAGUACGGUGGCAACACUG